GACGAACGCUGGCGGCGCGCUUAACACAUGCAAGUCGAGCGAAGCGGCGGACGGGUGAGUAACACGUGAGUAACCUGCCUUAGACAUUGGGAUAGUCCCGGGAAACCGGGAUUAUUACCAAAUGGUCUAAGAUGGACUUGCGUCCCAUUAGCUAGUUGGUGGGUAACGGCCCACCAAGGCGACUAUGGGUAGCCGGUCUGGAAGGGGGAACGGCGACAUUGAAGCAGAGAAACGGUCCAAACUCUGCGGGAGGCAGCAGUGGGGAAUAUUGCACAAUGGAGGGAACUAUGAUGCAGCGACGCCGCGUGAACGAAGAAGGCUUUCGAGUCGUAAAGUUCUUUUAUAUGGGAAGCGGUACCAUAAGAAAAAGCCCCGGCUAACUACGUGCCAGCCGCCGCGGUAAUAC
Molecule: ribosomal RNA, 406 nt
Filed under: uncultured bacterium
Lineage: Bacteria
Description: partial 16S ribosomal RNA
Rfam family: Bacterial small subunit ribosomal RNA
Source: RNAcentral